Molecule: ribosomal RNA, 442 nt
Filed under: uncultured bacterium
Lineage: Bacteria
Description: partial 16S ribosomal RNA
Rfam family: Bacterial small subunit ribosomal RNA
Source: RNAcentral
CCUACGGGGGGCAGCAGUGGGGAAUAUUGGGCAAUGGGCGAAAGCCUGACCCAGCAACGCCGCGUGAAGGAAGAAGGCUUUCGGGUUGUAAACUUCUUUUGACAGGGAAGAGCAGAAGACGGUACCUGUCGAAUAAGCCACGGCUAACUACGUGCCAGCAGCCGCGGUAAUACGUAGGUGGCAAGCGUUGUCCGGAUUUACUGGGUGUAAAGGUUGUGUAGCCGGGCUGACAAGUCAGAUGUGAAAUCCGGGGGCUCAACCCCCGAACUGCAUUUGAAACUGUUGGUCUUGAGUAUCGGAGAGGCAGGCGGAAUUCCUAGUGUAGCGGUGAAAUGCGUAGAUAUUAGGAGGAACACCAGUUGCGAAGGCAGCCUGCUGGACGACAACUGACGGUGAGGCGCGAAAGCGUGGGGAGCAAACAGGAUUAGAUACCCCUGUAGUC